UCUCUCUCUCCUCUCUCUCUGGUGACCCUCUCAGCCGCAGGCCCGCCGUCCUCUCUCGCGCCGCCGUCGCCGAGCCCCCCCUCGCCACCGCCGCCGCCGCCGCCGCCUUCUUCGUGAGCAGCACUCCGCCACUCGCAGCGCCGGGAGCCGUCUUCACCUCUCCCUCUCUCAUCUCUCACUCUUGACUCUCUCUCUCUCUCUCUCUCUCUAAGCCGCCGCUCUCUCUCUCUCUCCCUCUCUCUGUGUUAUCGCCGCCGCGUCUAACCUCGCCGUCACCGUAGCACUCCGCCGCUCGCCGUUCUCCCCUCCAGGUCGGAAUAUACGAUAUAUAGGAGGUGCCUUAUGUUCAAUCUUAGCCUAAUCGAGCACACGUUGCGGUUACCUCCUCAUCUGCUCAGCCUAUCCCUGGAUAAAGCUGUUAAGCAUGAUCUUGAGAAACUUUUCUUAGACAAGGUUAUUGCAAAUCUGGGCCUUUGCGUUUCUGUCUAUGACAUCAGAAAGAUUGAUGGUGGCUUUAUCUUUCCAGGAGAUGGGGCACCUACUUACACGGUGGAAUGCAGACUGCUAGUGUUUCGUCCAUUCGUUGGGGAAAUAAUUGAUGCGAAGCUCAAAGAAUUUGAUAAAGAUGGUUUGCGCUUAUCUAUGGGAUUUUUUGAUGACAUUUACAUUCCCUUUCAUCUCUUGCCAUACCCAUCCCGAUUUGAGCCUGACUCAGAAAAUGGGAACCGGUUUAGAUGGAUAUGGGAGUAUCAGGCAAAUGGGGAGAACGAAGAUGAUCAGACAUCGGCAACAGUUUAUCCUAUUGAUGAGAUUGGCGAGACCAUCAGAUUCAGAGUUCAGAGUGUAAAUUAUCCUUCAAUCCCACUGGAGCAACCAAAAGAUUCUAAGCCAUUUGCUCCUAUGGUGAUUACUGGAUCUCUUGAUAAUGAUGGUUUGGGUCCACUUUCAUGGUGGGAAUGAUAAGUCUAUGUGUUUGGGUAGGUAAGGCUGAUCUGUCAAUAACACGAUUGAUUGUGUCAGCCCACAGAAAGGGCACCUUCUGGUAUAAUGACAUGGAGCGGUAAUUUGCAGAUAAUUUUGUCUUGUCAGUAUUGACUGUGCGGAGAACCUAUAGGAUGAAUGCCACAGUUUAUUGCGGAGGCCAGCAUUGCACUUGGUCUUGUAUAUUUGGUGUCCUGGGUUGAAUGCCAUUGCCUUCAUUGAUAUUUCUUCUCCCAUAUCAUCGUUUCACCUCAUGUUAAGUUCAAAAUAUAAGCUAAGUUCUGAUCAAAGUAGUCCAAUUCUGCAGCUAUUCGUUGUCAUUGUAACCUCUUUCUCGUUAAUUUUGUCUGGGUGCCAAAGAGCCCUUUUUUCAUGUCUGCAUAGUCGAGGUGUGCGUGGAGUUUUUCACUUAGCUUUCCUCUUCCGAUGGUGGAAUUUCCUGUAUCAGCUGAACUGAAGCAUGCGCAUGAUUUUGUCGAUUGCUUUGGCUGGGUUCUUUUGGUCAUGAUCGUAUAGUUGUCCCUCGGUUUUUGUCCUACGGAUUGUAAAUUUUCUAUUGCAUGAAUGAACAGUGCCGGAUCAGGUUAAAUUUCU
Molecule: RNA transcript, 1575 nt
Organism: Eucalyptus grandis
Lineage: Eukaryota; Viridiplantae; Streptophyta; Magnoliopsida; Myrtales; Myrtaceae
Gene name: DNA-directed RNA polymerase III subunit RPC8
Exons: 9
Source: RefSeq, a predicted model, not a curated record